UGACGUCAAGUCAUCAUGGCCCUUACGGCCUGGGCUACACACGUGCUACAAUGGUCGGUACAAAGGGUUGCCAAGCCGCGAGGUGGAGCUAAUCCCAUAAAACCGAAUCGUAGUCCGGAUCGCAGUCUGCAACUCGACUGCGUGAAGUCGGAAUCGCUAGUAAUCGUGAAUCAGAAUGUCACGGUGAAUACGUUCCCGGGCCUU
RNAcentral lists this ribosomal RNA (204 nucleotides) under uncultured Pseudomonas sp. RNAcentral describes it as "partial 16S ribosomal RNA". It matches the Rfam family "Bacterial small subunit ribosomal RNA", at positions 1180 to 1382 of the family's 1533-position model. Lineage: Bacteria; Pseudomonadati; Pseudomonadota; Gammaproteobacteria; Pseudomonadales; Pseudomonadaceae. The record is from RNAcentral.